AUUGAACGCUGGCGGCAUGCCUUACACAUGCAAGUCGAACGGUAACGGGCCUUCGGGUGCCGACGAGUGGCGAACGGGCGAGUAAUACAUCGGAACGUGCCCGAUCGUGGGGGAUAACGAGGCGAAAGCUUUGCUAAUACCGCAUACGAUCUACGGAUGAAAGCAGGGGACCGCAAGGCCUUGCGCGGACGGAGCGGCCGAUGGCAGAUUAGGUAGUUGGUGGGAUAAAAGCUUACCAAGCCGACGAUCUGCAGCUGGUCUGAGAGGAUGACCAGCCACAUUGGGACUGAGACACGGCGCAGAGUCCUAGGGGAGGCAGCAGGGGGGAACAUUGCACAAUGGGCGCAAGCAGGAUGCAGCCAUGCCGCGGGUAUGAAGAAGGCCUUCUGGUUGGGAAGUCAUUUCAGCGGGGAGGAAGGGAGGAAAGUUAAUACCGGGGCGCAUUGACGUUACCCGCAGAAGAAGCACCGGCUAAAUCCGUG
RNAcentral lists this ribosomal RNA (482 nucleotides) under uncultured bacterium. Its description in RNAcentral is "partial 16S ribosomal RNA". It matches the Rfam family "Bacterial small subunit ribosomal RNA", at positions 29 to 507 of the family's 1533-position model. The record is from RNAcentral.